This 344-nucleotide long non-coding RNA is filed under the name Lathyrus oleraceus (garden pea). Its description in RNAcentral is "Pisum sativum (pea) long non-coding RNA (PSAT_LNC001414)". Lineage: Eukaryota; Viridiplantae; Streptophyta; Magnoliopsida; Fabales; Fabaceae. The record is from RNAcentral.
AAAGACCUAAGCUUCUAAGACAAGAAUCAUUGGCGUACCUCGUCGUAAGAAUUUCGCGUCAAGAUUGGACUUCAAACCUCUUCAUCUUCUCCUUGUCUUUGAACUGAAUGUCAAUAUAAUCAAUGUUUUGAACUCUAGGAGGCAUUACGACAACAAAUUUUUUAGUUUUGGAGUGAAAAAUAGGGGAAUCCAAAUUCGGGUGGAGAUGGAAUAAUGGAGGAAAGGUUGAUUUUUAAAAGGAUAAGUGUGUUGUUGUGAAGGUUGUGGUGGGAAUGGUGGUCACAUUUUCGAAUUUGGGGUAAAUGUGAGUGAGGAUGGAGAAUUUUGAGUGGUGCUUAAUGGAG